This 1078-nucleotide long non-coding RNA is filed under the name Strigops habroptila (Kakapo). RNAcentral describes it as "lncRNA (ENSSHBG00005007200.1)". Lineage: Eukaryota; Metazoa; Chordata; Aves; Psittaciformes; Psittacidae. The record is from RNAcentral.
UCCUCCGCCGCGGCCAGGGCUCGGCGGGCGCGGGGGGCUCGGGGCGUCCGGGCGGGUUUAUACCCCGAAGAGCGGGUGGUGUAUAAAGAGAGCGGUCCCAGGAGCGGCUCUGCCCCCGGGAUGGGGGCUGGCGGGAGGGGACAACAAGGGUCGUUAUCUGGGGUGAUGCUACCGGGGUGAUGCCAAACGUGUGCCCGCAAAAGCGAAGCGCAGGAGCCCUCCCUCUCCGAAGGACGAGCCACCGCGGGGCAGGGACGCUGGAAAGUAGCUGGAAAAUAAUUGUAAUAACUCAGCAAACUCCCAGCGUCCACUGCACUGCUGCGUUGUAGCCACAGGGACACGCGUGGAGAGGAGGCUCAGGAAGAGGCAGGAGCACAGGGCAGGAACCUGCCCUUGGGAAGCAGCCGGCAGUGCAGUGGGAAACAGUCGGUAACUCCACCCAGUCACUAGUUCUACUUGGUGGGCAUCAGGCAGCAUAACGUAGAGGGGAGAAGAGGACCAAGAAGAACAAGUAUGCACUUCCUGGUGGUGCAUGGGUGAGACCAGAGAUGCUCCUCACUCCAGAUCACUGCCCCUGAGCAAGCAGCUGAAGGUGCAGUGCAGCAACAGCCGAUCCAGGCAGUGCAUGGCGCUGUGAAUCCAGGUUAGCAGGUACAGCAACUACCAGCAAAGCAGAACAACCUCCAUUACCAGUGCGAGGAGGCAGCAGCAAGGGGCUGCCCCAGUGCAGGCAGAGGAGGCGGGAGCAGCGCCAAUGAGGAGACUCCCGUCAAAACCGACUUGCUGGGAGAGCAGCAGUGAUCCCACCCACUCCUCCACUGCCCCGCUUCAUCUGCUGCACCAACAUCUGAGACCCCAACAUGCACUGGAGCCUGCCCGGAACAGCGGCAAGAACACACCAGCACCAAGGCAAAGUGAAAAGCAGAGCACAGUUCCCAGGCAGGUCAGAAGAACUGAAUGGUGGCAUGCACCAGGGAACCCAGUUCACUCUAUAGCUGUCUUCACAUUCAAAUAUGCUACUAUUUAUUAUUAUUAAUAUGUUAAUUUUUCUUACAAAUAAUGUGUUGUUAUAACAAAA